This is a long non-coding RNA of Anoplopoma fimbria (sablefish), 293 nucleotides long. RefSeq lists it as uncharacterized. NCBI's taxonomy places the organism in Eukaryota, Metazoa, Chordata, Actinopteri, Perciformes, Anoplopomatidae. The record is from RefSeq and is a predicted model, not a curated record. The transcript is spliced from 3 exons.
GGAGGGAGGAUAAGGAGCGAGAGAUUUCAGAGUUGAAGCUCCUUCAUGAGACGAAGGUUUUCCAGCUGACGGAGCGCAUUGAGGAGCUGUCUCACUCGCUGCAGGCUGAGGUCAGUCAGAAGGAGGUGCAGAGACAUGGAGACACAGAGAGGAGUCUCCAGUCCGUCAGUCAGGCUGUGGUCAAACUGUCCAGAGUCCUGAGCAGCAGCAGUCGGUCAGUGAGUGUCUCCACAGACAGCGUCCUCAGUCUGGAUCUGUCCUCCCUGCUGUCCGUCCUGUCUCAGGCUGAGAGC